UUAUGACCACAUCAGGUUGAAAAACCAAUUCCCAUACAAUCACCAAAGUUAAGCAAGAUUGUGCCUGGUCAAUACCUAGAUAGGGGACUACUUGGUAAUAUCAGGUGCUGUAAG
Acanthosepion pharaonis is the source of this 114-nucleotide non-coding RNA. The record is from the annotation of a GenBank genome assembly. Lineage: Eukaryota; Metazoa; Mollusca; Cephalopoda; Sepiida; Sepiidae.